RNAcentral lists this ribosomal RNA (250 nucleotides) under uncultured bacterium. RNAcentral describes it as "partial 16S ribosomal RNA". It matches the Rfam family "Bacterial small subunit ribosomal RNA", at positions 524 to 773 of the family's 1533-position model. The record is from RNAcentral.
UACGGAGGAGGCAAGCGUUAUCCGGAAUUAUUGGGCGUAAAGCGUCCGUAGGUGGUGAGUCAAGUCUGCUGUUAAAACGUGGAGCUUAACUCCAUAUCGGCAGUGGAAACUGGCUUGCUAGAGUGCGAUAGGGGCAAGGGGAAUUCCCAGUGUAGCGGUGAAAUGCGUAGAUAUUGGGAAGAACACCGGUGGCGAAAGCGCCUUGCUGGGUCUGCACUGACACUGAGGGACGAAAGCUAGGGGAGCGAAA